RNAcentral lists this ribosomal RNA (305 nucleotides) under uncultured bacterium. RNAcentral's name for it is "bacterial SSU rRNA". It matches the Rfam family "Bacterial small subunit ribosomal RNA", at positions 337 to 659 of the family's 1533-position model. The record is from RNAcentral.
UCCUACGGGAGGCAGCAGUGGGGAAUAUUGCCCAAUGGGGGAAACCCUGAUGCAGCAACGCCGCGUGAGUGAAGAAGUAUUUCGGUAUGUAAAGCUCUAUCAGCAGGGAAGAAAAUGACGGUACCUGACUAAGAAGCCCCGGCUAACUACGUGCCAGCAGCCGCGGUAAUACGUAGGGGGCAAGCGUUAUCCGGAUUUACUGGGUGUAAAGGGAGCGUAGACGGUGAUGCAAGUCAGAAGUGAAAGCCCGCGGCUCAACUGCGGGACUGCUUUUGAAACUGUAUGACUGGAGUGCAGGAGAGGUA